RNAcentral lists this ribosomal RNA (394 nucleotides) under uncultured bacterium. Its description in RNAcentral is "partial 16S ribosomal RNA". It matches the Rfam family "Bacterial small subunit ribosomal RNA", at positions 338 to 730 of the family's 1533-position model. The record is from RNAcentral.
CCUACGGGGGGCAGCAGUGAGGAAUAUUGGUCAAUGGGCGUAAGCCUGAACCAGCCAAGUCGCGUGAGGGAUGAAGGUUCUAUGGAUCGUAAACCUCUUUUAUAAGGGAAUAAAGUGUGGGACGUGUCCUAUUUUGUAUGUACCUGAUGAAUAAGGAUCGGCUAACUCCGUGCCAGCAGCCGCGGUAAUACGGAGGAUCCGAGCGUUAUCCGGAUUUAUUGGGUUUAAAGGGUGCGUAGGCGGCCUUUAAGGUAAGGGGGAAAAUUUGGAGGUGAACCAUAGUAUUGCCGUUGAAACUGGGGGGCUUGAGUAUGUUUGAGGCAGGCGGAAUGCGUGGUGUAGCGGUGAAAUGCUUAGAUAUCACGCAGAACCCCGAUUGCGAAGGCAGCAUGCC